RNAcentral lists this ribosomal RNA (1243 nucleotides) under Salmonella enterica. RNAcentral's name for it is "partial 23S ribosomal RNA". It matches the Rfam family "Bacterial large subunit ribosomal RNA", at positions 1577 to 2801 of the family's 2925-position model. The record is from RNAcentral. Lineage: Bacteria; Pseudomonadati; Pseudomonadota; Gammaproteobacteria; Enterobacterales; Enterobacteriaceae.
CUACGGUGCUGAAGCAACAAAUGCCCUGCUUCCAGGAAAAGCCUCUAAGCCUCAGGUAACAUCAGAUCGUACCCGAAACCGACACAGGUGGUCAGGUAGAGAAUACCAAGGCGCUUGAGAGAACCCGGGUGAAGGAACUAGGCAAAAUGGUGCCGUAACUUCGGGAGAAGGCACGCUGACACGUAGGUGAAGCGGUUUACCCGUGGAGCUGAAGUCAGUCGAAGAUACCAGCUGGCUGCAACUGUUUAUUAAAAACACAGCACUGUGCAAACACGAAAGUGGACGUAUACGGUGUGACGCCUGCCCGGUGCCGGAAGGUUAAUUGAUGGGGUCAGCGCAAGCGAAGCUCCUGAUCGAAGCCCCGGUAAACGGCGGCCGUAACUAUAACGGUCCUAAGGUAGCGAAAUUCCUUGUCGGGUAAGUUCCGACCUGCACGAAUGGCGUAAUGAUGGCCAGGCUGUCUCCACCCGGGACUCAGUGAAAUUGAACUCGCUGUGAAGAUGCAGUGUACCCGCGGCAAGACGGAAAGACCCCGUGAACCUUUACUAUAGCUUGACACUGAACACUGGUCCUUGAUGUGCAGGAUAGGUGGGAGGCUUUGAAGUGUGGACGCCAGUCUGCAUGGAGCCGUCCUUGAAAUACCACCCUUUAAUGGCUGGUGUUCUAACGUAGACCCGUGAACCGGGUUGCGGACAGUGUCUGGUGGGUAGUUUGACUGGGGCGGUCUCCUCCUAAAGCGUAACGGAGGAGCACGAAGGUUGGCUAAUCCUGGUCGGACAUCAGGAGGUUAGUGCAAUGGCAUAAGCCAGCUUGACUGCGAGCGUGACGGCGCGAGCAGGUGCGAAAGCAGGUCAUAGUGAUCCGGUGGUUCUGAAUGGAAGGGCCAUCGCUCAACGGAUAAAAGGUACUCCGGGGAUAACAGGCUGAUACCGCCCAAGAGUUCAUAUCGACGGCGGUGUUUGGCACCUCGAUGUCGGCUCAUCACAUCCUGGGGCUGAAGUAGGUCCCAAGGGUAUGGCUGUUCGCCAUUUAAAGUGGUACGCGAGCUGGGUUUAGAACGUCGUGAGACAGUUCGGUCCCUAUCUGCCGUGGGCGCUGGAGAACUGAGGGGGGCUGCUCCUAGUACGAGAGGACCGGAGUGGACGCAUCACUGGUGUUCGGGUUGUCAUGCCAAUGGCACUGCCCGGUAGCUAAAUGCGGAAGAGAUAAGUGCUGAAAGCAUCUAAGCACGAAACUUGCCCCG